RNAcentral lists this ribosomal RNA (464 nucleotides) under Vreelandella stevensii. RNAcentral's name for it is "partial 16S ribosomal RNA". It matches the Rfam family "Bacterial small subunit ribosomal RNA", at positions 338 to 794 of the family's 1533-position model. Lineage: Bacteria; Pseudomonadati; Pseudomonadota; Gammaproteobacteria; Oceanospirillales; Halomonadaceae. The record is from RNAcentral.
CCUACGGGCGGCAGCAGUGGGGAAUAUUGGACAAUGGGCGAAAGCCUGAUCCAGCCAUGCCGCGUGUGUGAAGAAGGCCUUCGGGUUGUAAAGCACUUUCAGUGGGGAAGAAAGCCUUGGGGCUAAUACCCUCGAGGAAGGACAUCACCCACAGAAGAAGCACCGGCUAACUCCGUGCCAGCAGCCGCGGUAAUACGGAGGGUGCGAGCGUUAAUCGGAAUUACUGGGCGUAAAGCGCGCGUAGGCGGUCUGAUAAGCCGGUUGUGAAAGCCCCGGGCUCAACCUGGGAACGGCAUCCGGAACUGUCAGGCUAGAGUGCAGGAGAGGAAGGUAGAAUUCCCGGUGUAGCGGUGAAAUGCGUAGAGAUCGGGAGGAAUACCAGUGGCGAAGGCGGCCUUCUGGACUGACACUGACGCUGAGGUGCGAAAGCGUGGGUAGCAAACAGGAUUAGAUACCCUGGUAUC